Molecule: ribosomal RNA, 441 nt
Filed under: uncultured bacterium
Lineage: Bacteria
Description: partial 16S ribosomal RNA
Rfam family: Bacterial small subunit ribosomal RNA
Source: RNAcentral
CCUAUGGGCGGCUGCAGUAGGGAAUAUUGGUUAAUGGGCGAAAGCCCGACCCAGCAACGCCGCGUGCACGAAGAAGGCCUUCGGGUUGUAAAGUGCUUUUUAGUGGGAUGAGGACGGACAGUCCCACUAGAAUCAGUCUCGGCUAACUACGUGCCAGCAGCCGCGGUAACACGUAGGAGACGAGCUUUCUCCGGAUUUACUGGGUGUAAAGCGCGUGCAGGCGGUCGGGUAAGUUGGAUGUGAAAGCUCCUGGCUUAACUGGGAGAGGUCGUUCAAAACUGCCGGGCUAGAGUGCAACAGAGGGGAGUGGAAUUCCGAGUGUAGCGGUAAAAUGCAUAGAUAUUCGGAAGAACACCAGUGGCGAAGGCGGCUCUCUGGGUUGCAACUGACGCUCAGACGCGAAAGCUAGGGUAGCGAACGGGAUUAGAUACCCCAGUAGUC